This 117-nucleotide ribosomal RNA is filed under the name Danio rerio (zebrafish). The record is from RNAcentral. Lineage: Eukaryota; Metazoa; Chordata; Actinopteri; Cypriniformes; Danionidae.
AGUCACAGCCAUGUCACCCUGCAGCCCAAGACCGGUUACUCACUGAAGCUAAUCAGGGCUGAGCCUGGUCAGUACCUAGAUGGGAGACCACUAGGGAACACUAGGUUGCUGUUGGAA